This 1343-nucleotide ribosomal RNA is filed under the name uncultured bacterium. RNAcentral describes it as "16S ribosomal RNA". It matches the Rfam family "Bacterial small subunit ribosomal RNA", at positions 28 to 1378 of the family's 1533-position model. The record is from RNAcentral.
GACGAACGCUGGCGGCGUGCUUAACACAUGCAAGUCGAACGGAAAGGCCCUGCUUUUGUGGGGUGCUCGAGUGGCGAACGGGUGAGUAACACGUGAGUAACCUGCCCUUGACUUUGGGAUAACUUCAGGAAACUGGGGCUAAUACCGGAUAGGAGCUCCUGCUGCAUGGUGGGGGUUGGAAAGUUUCGGCGGUUGGGGAUGGACUCGCGGCUUAUCAGCUUGUUGGUGGGGUAGUGGCUUACCAAGGCUUUGACGGGUAGCCGGCCUGAGAGGGUGACCGGCCACAUUGGGACUGAGAUACGGCCCAGACUCCUACGGGAGGCAGCAGUGGGGAAUAUUGCACAAUGGGCGGAAGCCUGAUGCAGCAACGCCGCGUGCGGGAUGACGGCCUUCGGGUUGUAAACCGCUUUCGCCUGUGACGAAGCGUGAGUGACGGUAAUGGGUAAAGAAGCACCGGCUAACUACGUGCCAGCAGCCGCGGUGAUACGUAGGGUGCGAGCGUUGUCCGGAUUUAUUGGGCGUAAAGGGCUCGUAGGUGGUUGAUCGCGUCGGAAGUGUAAUCUUGGGGCUUAACCCUGAGCGUGCUUUCGAUACGGGUUGACUUGAGGAAGGUAGGGGAGAAUGGAAUUCCUGGUGGAGCGGUGGAAUGCGCAGAUAUCAGGAGGAACACCAGUGGCGAAGGCGGUUCUCUGGGCCUUUCCUGACGCUGAGGAGCGAAAGCGUGGGGAGCGAACAGGCUUAGAUACCCUGGUAGUCCACGCUGUAAACGGUGGGUACUAGGUGUGGGGUCCAUUCCACGGGUUCCGUGCCGUAGCUAACGCUUUAAGUACCCCGCCUGGGGAGUACGGCCGCAAGGCUAAAACUCAAAGGAAUUGACGGGGCCCCGCACGAGCGGCGGAGCAUGCGGAUUAAUUCGAUGCAACGCGUAGAACCUUACCUGGGUUUGACAUGGAUCGGGAGUGCUCAGAGAUGGGUGUGCCUCUUUUGGGGUCGGUUCACAGGUGGUGCAUGCCUGUCGUCAGCUCGUGUCGUGAGAUGUUGGGUUAAGUCCCGCAACGAGCGCAACCCUUGUUCACUGUUGCCAGCACGUUAUGGUGGGGACUCAGUGGAGACCGCCGGGGUCAACUCGGAGGAAGGUGGGGAUGACGUCAAGUCAUCAUGCCCCUUAUGUCCAGGGCUUCACGCAUGCUACAAUGGCUGGUACAGAGAGUGGCGAGCCUGUGAGGGUGAGCGAAUCUCGGAAAGCCGGUCUCAGUUCGGAUUGGGGUCUGCAACUCGACCUCAUGAAGUCGGAGUCGCUAGUAAUCGCAGAUCAGCAACGCUGCGGUGAAUACGUUCCCGGG